AUGGUAGUGUCUUCCAGAAAUACUCUCACAGGCACACCCAGGACAAAUGUUCUACCAGCUAUCUGGGCGUUGCUUAGGCCAGUCAAGUUGACACAUAAAAUUAACCAACGAAGUAAUUCUAACAAAGAUUUAUAACCAGAUUACACUCUUCUGAAGCUAAAGAACUGCUAAUGGAGAUAGCAGUCAUCAGUUACUGUGAUAGUUAAUGUUGAGUGUCAACUUGAUUGGAUUGAAAAAUGUGAAGUAUUGUUUCUGGGUGUGUCAGUGAGGGUGCUGCCAAAAGAGAUUAACAUUUGAGUUAGUGGACUAAGAAAGGCAGACCCACUCUCAAUCUGGGUGGGCACCAUCUAAUCGGCUGCCAACAUGGCUAGGAUAAAAGCAGGCAGAGGAAUGUGGAAGGACUAAACUGGCAGAAUCUUCUGGCCUCCAUCUUUCCCCUGUGCUGGAUGCUUCCUGCCCUCAAACAUCGGACUCCCAAGUUCUUCAGCUUUUGGACUCUUGGACUUACAUCACUGAUUUGCCAGGGGCUCUGAGGCCUUUGGCCACAGGCUGAAGGCUGCACUAUCAGCUUCCCUACUUUUAAAGUUUUGGGACUUGGAAUUGCUUCCUGGCUCCUCAGCUUGCAGACAGCCUAUUGUGGGACUUCACCUUAUGAUCAUGUCUCAGCAGGACAGCUUAUCUCUGCUCCAUGUGGCCUAACUGGGGUUGGAUGACCCACCUCCAAGAUGGCUUACUUUCAUGAAUGGUGACCUCACACUGGGAGCCUGAAACCAGCCAUGGUGAGAGUAUUGAUGGACAGAAAUCAGCAAAUGCUACAAAUCAGGACUCUACUCCUCCCCAGAGCUGAUGAAUAAGUGAGUGAGGAAGAAAGUGGCCCCAAAUGAAGUUGUUGUGGAAAUAGGCAGGGCUGGAUCAUUCACGGCCUUGCAGGUCAUGGUGAGGAGUUGAGAUUGAGUUGCCUUUAGAAAGGAAGCUAACUCUACAGCAGAAGCAGUGAGUCACAAGGACAAGAACCAAAUGAUAUGGACGACCCCAUCACAACAACUCAAGCUGGUGUAAACAUUCUCACAUGGCAUGAGAAUGAAACAUAAUGCAGUGCUCCCUCUCCCCAGACCUGGGUCACAUUCCUCUAUGGAUUAAAUGCAAUAGCAGUUAGGUUUUAAUUGCAUUCCUUUGAGCAAUGUCAUUUAUUUUACCUGUUGUUUACCAUUAAAUUUAUGUCCUGGAAGAUGUUGAUAAAACUACAAGAAGGAAAGUAUCCUUUUGCUAUGGUUUGAAUAGCAAACCAAAAUUUGUGUUGAAAUUUUAUCCCAAAUGUGGCAGAGAAUUAGUCCAUUCUCAUGCUGCUAAUAAGGACAUACCCAAGACUCGGUAAUUGAUAAAGGAAAGAUGUUUAAUUGACUCACAGUUCAGCAUGGUUGGGGAGGCCUCAGAAAACUUACAAUCAUGGUGGAAGGGGAACCAAACACGUCCUCCUUCACAUGGUGGCAAGAGAGACAAGUGCAGAGAAAAGGAGGGGAAAGCCCCUUAUAAAAUCAUCAACUCUCAUGAGAACUCACUCACUAUCAUCAGAACAGCAUGGAGGUAACCGCCCCCAUGAUUCAAUUACCUCCCACUAAGUCCUUCCCAUGACCCAUGGGGAUUAUAGGAUACCUGAGAACUUUGACAUGUUUCUGACAUGCCCUGAAAACAGCUGCCACAUUGCCUCAGUGAUUAACAUUCGGCUCCUCAUCACAUAUGCAAAUUUCAGCAGCCGGCUUGAAUUUCUCCCAAGAAAAUGGGUUUUUCUUUUCUGUCACAUAAUCAGGCUGCAAAUUUUCCAAACUUUUAUGCUCUGCUUCCUCUUGAACACCUUGCCACUUAGAAAUUGCUUCUGUCAGAUUCCCUAAAUCAUCUCUCUCAAGUUUAAAGUUUCACAGAUCUCUAGGGCAGGGGCAAAAUGCCGCCAGUCUCUUUGCAUAGCAAGAGUGACAUUUACUCCAGUUUCCAACAAGUUCCUCAUCUCCAUCUGAGACCACCUCAGCCUGGACUUUAUUGCCCAUAUCACUAUCAGCAUUUUAGUCAAAGCCAUUCGACAAGUCUCUAGGAAGUUCCAAACUUUCCCACUUCUUCCUGCCUUCUUAGCCCUCCAAGUCUCUAAGAGUUUCCAAACUUUCCCACAUUUUCCUGUCUUCUGAGCCCUCCAAAUGGUUUCAACCUCUGCCUGUUACCCAGUUCCAAAGUUACUUCCACAUUUUCAGGUACCUUUACAGCAGCGCCCCACUCUCUGUGGUACCAAUUUACUGUAUUAGUCCCUUCUCCCACCUCUAUAAGGACAUAUCUGAGACUGGGUAAUUUAUAAAGGAAGGAGGUUUAAUUGACUCACAGUUCCACAGGGCGGGGGAGGCCUCAAGAAACUUACAAUCAUGGUGGAAGGGGAAGCAAACACGUCCUUCUUCACAUGGCAGCAGGAGAUGUGCAGAGAGAAGUGGGGGAAAGCCCCUUCUAAAACCAUCAGAUCUCAUGAGAUCUCAUCAGAUCUCAUAAGAACUCACUCAAUAUCAUAAGAACAUGAUAUGGAGGUAACCGCUGCCAUGAUUCAAUUACCUCCCAUGGGGUUUUUUCCAUGACAUGCAGGGAUUAUGGGAGCUACAAUUCAGUAUGAGAUUUAGGUGCGGACACAGCCAAAACCAUAUCAGGCAGUAUUGAGAAGUGAAGCAUUUAAGAGGUGAUUGGGUCAUGAGGGCUCUGCCCUCAUGAAUGACUUAGUCUAUUCACAGAUUAAUGAAAUAGUGAGUUAUCAUUGGAAGGGAACUGUGGCUAUAUAGGAAAAGGAAGAAAAACCUAAGCUAGCAUGUUAGCGCACUCAGCCCCCUUGCCACGUGAUGCUCUGCACUGCCUCAGGACUCUGCAGCAUCCCCAUUAGCAAGAAAAUGUGGCAUAUAUACACCACGG
This 2934-nucleotide long non-coding RNA is filed under the name Homo sapiens (human). Its description in RNAcentral is "HSALNT0194076". The record is from RNAcentral. Lineage: Eukaryota; Metazoa; Chordata; Mammalia; Primates; Hominidae.